UUUAUUUAUUUAUUUUGUAAUAGGCAAAGGAAAUCAAAAGGAAAUUAUUGCCACAGGAAACAGAAAUAAAAAAUUAGAAGUGUUAACAGAAACCACUGUAUAUGAGACUGUGUUUGAUGGAGGAGCCAUUGAUCCAGAUGGCAUGAUAAUUUCCAACCAGGGGAGAGACCAAAGAUUGUCUGGGAAAAUGCUCUUCUCUCUCCAACAAGGCUCUCUCUGGAUCAAUUAUGAUUUGAUGGAUAUACAUGUGUGAGUCUCCACCUGCCACCACCUGGGCUUUUAAGAAAAAAAAAAAAAAAAAACAGCAUUUAUUAACUUUGUUUUCAAAAUUGGAUUGAAUCAAUUUGUAUUCGAUCUGCCUCUGCCCAAACCAAGAAAAAUCGGUAAGUUAGUGUUUGUUUUCCCUUGUUUAGUUGUUUUGGGUCUCAGUUUC
RNAcentral lists this long non-coding RNA (433 nucleotides) under Macaca mulatta (Rhesus monkey). Its description in RNAcentral is "lncRNA (ENSMMUG00000054588.1)". The record is from RNAcentral. Lineage: Eukaryota; Metazoa; Chordata; Mammalia; Primates; Cercopithecidae.